GAUGAACGCUGACCGAAUGCCUAACACAUGCAAGUCCACUUGAAUUUGGGUUUUUAACUUAGGUUUGGGUGGCGGACGGGUGAGUAACGCGUAAAGAACUUGCCUCACAGCUAGGGACAACAUUUGGAAACGAAUGCUAAUACCUAAUAUUAUGAUAAUAGGGCAUCCUAUAAUUAUGAAAGCUAUAAGCGCUGUGAGAGAGCUUUGCGUCCCAUUAGCUAGUUGGAGAGGUAACGGCUCACCAAGGCGAUGAUGGGUAGCCGGCCUGAGAGGGUGAUCGGCCACAAGGGGACUGAGACACGGCCCUUACUCCUACGGGAGGCAGCAGUGGGGAAUAUUGGACAAUGGACCAAGAGUCUGAUCCAGCAAUUCUGUGUGCACGAUAAAGUUUUUCGGAAUGUAAAGUGCUUUCAGUUGGGAAGAAAGAAAUGACGGUACCAACAGAAGAAGUGACGGCUAAAUACGUG
RNAcentral lists this ribosomal RNA (467 nucleotides) under uncultured bacterium. RNAcentral's name for it is "partial 16S ribosomal RNA". It matches the Rfam family "Bacterial small subunit ribosomal RNA", at positions 28 to 507 of the family's 1533-position model. The record is from RNAcentral.